GCCGGGUGUGGUGGUGCACGCCUGUAUUCCCAGCUACUCGGGAGGCUGAGGCAGGGGAAUCACUUGAACCCAGGAGGUGGAGAUUGCAGUGAGCUGAGAUCACGCCACUGCACUCCAGCCUGGUGACAGAGUGAGACUCUGUCUCAA
Macaca fascicularis (crab-eating macaque) is the source of this 147-nucleotide unclassified non-coding RNA. It matches the Rfam family "Metazoan signal recognition particle RNA". From Rfam's summary of the family: The signal recognition particle (SRP) is a universally conserved ribonucleoprotein. It is involved in the co-translational targeting of proteins to membranes. The record is from Ensembl. Lineage: Eukaryota; Metazoa; Chordata; Mammalia; Primates; Cercopithecidae.